CACCUGGGCAGAAGUUACCUAGGACACUAAGGAAUUAAAUGGAGGGCAUACCCCAGAGAUGGAAGACAAUGUAUAAACACAUGGAAGAAUAAGACAGAAUGGUGUGUUUAGAGAAUUAUAAGUAGGUCACUUUUCCAACAAAAUAAGUUGUAAAAAAAAUUAGAAUGGAUAAUAAUACAGAUUAAAACAUGAACUUGUUGAGUGAAUGGCACCCCCAAAACAGUCUGUGAAAUUCCAAAAAUCAGACAGUAAUCUAUUUCAUUUAUUUAUUUGCAAAUAUUCAAGGAUUUUCUGUGAUGAAAGGCAUGGGACUUCAGUGAAGAAGGCACAAUGCAGAGCAAGACAAGCAACAUCCUUUUCCGCAUCCUUUUCCGCAUUGAUUUAGUUCCCAGGAGGUAGAAACAGACAAGACAAAGAACAGAUGCUAAUGUUGUUCAGCUGUGUCGCUGUUGGGAGGCUGCCCUCACACACUUGUAUUUGGAACUCAUGGGGAUACCUGUCGCUUGGUUUUGUUGCAUCAUUGCUGAUGUUAUGAAAAUAUUGGAUCAGUGAAUACCAAAUCUGUAACCCUGAUACUCCCAUGUCUCAAAAGUUCUCAUUCUUCUCCUUCCUGCUGCCACAUGACAAAGGAUGUGUUUGACUCCCCUUUCAUCAUGAUUGCAAGUUUCCUGAGGCUUCCCAAGCCAUGCUGAACUAGCUGAGAAACACACUGACCACAAAGCCCUGGAUGAUUUCCAAAGCUGUAUGAGAUGAAGAAAAGAAAUGCCAUGGAGAAAUAAGCCAGCAGUCAAAAGAUGCUGCUGUCCACAACUUAAAUGAGAAUUACAUCAAGAAACCCAACUUAAGCCAGCUAGGUGUGCCAAGGGACUGAGACAACUGCCACCAGGCUACACUAAUCCCAAGUCCUGAGAAGAGUCUCAAGAGGGAAGAGAGAACAGAUUCCUUUGAGCACAUUAGAUUGAAACAUUCUAAAUAUAUAAUCAGGUGGUAAGAUUGCUUCAGAAAUAUGCUGACAAUGCAUGAAAAAUUAACAUCCAAACUUAUUUUGCAUUAGUCAGGCCCAUUAGUUGUGCCACAAAAGGAAAAAACAAGUUCAUAUGUUCCUAUUAGUAAGGGAAACUGAAUGCUUAAACUUCUAUCUUACAAAUUAAAUUUUUUUCUGUUUAUUCUUGUGUUGACUCUUAGAGAUUCAAACUUAAAUGACUGUACUCUGCAGCCUCCUAUUGUUUGUUUCCUCGCUCUUCUAUCUGAUACCUAUUCCCACGUUCAUUUUCUCAAAAUACAAUUUUGAUAAUAACAUUUUCUCUGUCUUCAUUAUCUUAGCAUUUCAGAUCUUCUACUCUGUUCUCUGACUCUCACCACGUUUGCUUCUAUUCACAAGUAUGCCUCAGCCAUGGAAAUGGGCCACUCCUAGUUCAAGCUUCUUGCA
Molecule: long non-coding RNA, 1429 nt
Filed under: Homo sapiens (human)
Lineage: Eukaryota; Metazoa; Chordata; Mammalia; Primates; Hominidae
Description: HSALNT0300772
Source: RNAcentral